CAUGGGGUCACAAAGAAUUGGACAUGACUGAGCAACUGAACUGAACUGAACUGAACAGAGGGGUCAAAAGUAAAUAUUACAGUUUUAAAACUCAUCUUUCAGUGUCAUUUUUCUCUGGCAACAGACUGUAGCUGCCUGGAUUUCUUUCAGUUCAGAAAUAACUUUUAAAAAUGGACUCCUCCAUUCAGGCAAGUUUGUAAAGAGAAGAUAUUUCCAAAACUUGGCAAAGCUUUGCUUACAUUCUUCCAUGAACCAAGCCAUUACCUCAAGACAUCUUGAUUUCAACUGCAGAGGUGGGUCGUCUUGCAAAGGAUGCAGAAAUGCCUCCUCAUUUCCUUGACUCUUUCUCACUGUCGCCAUUAUCUGGAACUACUACCAAUCCUUCACAUCUGAGACUUAGUGACUCUUGUGUCAUUUAUGGAAAGUUCAUUUAGGACUUCCCUGGUGGUCCAGCGGUUAAAAAUCUGCCUGUCAAUGUAGGCAACAUGUAUUCAGUCCCUGAUCUGGGAGGAUCCCACAUGCCUCAGAGCAACUAAGUUGGUGUGCCACAGCUACUCAGCCCACACCCUAGAGCCCGUGAGUUACAACUACUGAGCCCACGUGCCACAACUGGAGAGUAGGCCCCUCUUGCCUCAAAUAAAAAAAGUCGAUGAGCAGCAAAACGAAGACCCACCGCAGCCAGUUUCACUCGUCCAGAGAGUCCAGUUAAGCAAACUUUGGAGAAAUGAGAUAGUAAAAAGAUAACUUGUACCUUAGGCUUAAACUUACCACAAAAUAUUUCUAGUAUUUUCAAUUCAACUCAUUGCCGCUCUAUUAUUAUUAUCAAUAUUAUUAUCAUCAUCAUCACCAUCAUCAUAUAUAGGAAACAAUGGAGUUAGGGAUGCUAGGAAAAGAUGCUGGGGUAUAUACGCCUGCUUACAAUUAGGAAAACAGACAAAAUCUGCUUUACUCUCCUGUCAGCAUAAACAUAUUUGAAAGAUGUUUAGAUUUUCUGGUAAUUUUUUUCUCUUGAUGAGUCUGCCUUCAAUUUCUUGGGGAGAACCAAAAGCCUCCCUACUUUUCUCAUCGUCUUCCUUCCUUCUAGGACUCAGCUUCCUCAUCUAUCUUUCAAGUAACUGGAAGGUAAACUGAUGUUC
This 1136-nucleotide long non-coding RNA is filed under the name Capra hircus (goat). Its description in RNAcentral is "lncRNA (ENSCHIG00010031882.1)". The record is from RNAcentral. Lineage: Eukaryota; Metazoa; Chordata; Mammalia; Artiodactyla; Bovidae.